Molecule: ribosomal RNA, 395 nt
Filed under: uncultured bacterium
Lineage: Bacteria
Description: partial 16S ribosomal RNA
Rfam family: Bacterial small subunit ribosomal RNA
Source: RNAcentral
AUACGUAGGGUGCAAGCGUUAAUCGGAAUUACUGGGCGUAAAGCGUGCGCAGGCGGUUUUGUAAGACAGUGGUGAAAUCCCCGGGCUCAACCUGGGAACUGCCAUUGUGACUGCAAGGCUGGAGUGGGGCAGAGGGGGAUGGAAUUCAGCGUGUAGCAGUGAAAUGCGUAGAUAUGCGGAGGAAAACCGAUGGCGAAGGCAAGCCCCUGGGCCUGUACUGACGCUCAUGCACGAAAGCGUGGGGAGCUAACAGGAUUAGAUACCCUGGUAGUCCACGCCCUAAACGAUGUCAACUGGUUGUUGGGUCUUCAUUGACUCAGUAACGAAGCUAACGCGUGAAGUUGACCGCCUGGGGAGUACGGCCGCAAGGUUGAAACUCAAACGAAUUGACGGGG